ACUCAAAUGAAUAGACGGGGGCUCACACAAGCGGUGGAGCAUGUGGCUCAAUUCGAAGCAACGCGAAGAACCUUAUCCAAGGCUUGACAUGUAUGGAUUAGCUCCUGGAAACAGGAGUAACACUCGCAAGAGCGGAACAUACACAGGUGCUGCAUGGCUGUCGUCAGCUCGUGCUGUGAAGUGUCGGGUUAAGUCCCUUAACGAGCGAAACCCCUGUCGCUAGUUGCCACCAGGUUAUGCUGAGCACUCUAGCGAGACUGCCGGUGUCAAACCGGAGGAAGGUGGGGAUGACGUCAAGUCCUCAUGGCCUUUAUGCCUUGGGCUGCACACGUGCUACAAUGGCGCCUACAGAGCGACGCGAUACCGCAAGGUGGAGCAAAUCGCAAAAAAGGCGCCCCAGUUCAGAUUGAGGUCUGCAACUCGACCUCAUGAAGUUGGAAUCGCUAGUAAUCGAGGAUCAGCUACGCCUCGGUGAAUAUGUUCCUGAGCCUUGUACACACCGCCCGU
This 507-nucleotide ribosomal RNA is filed under the name uncultured bacterium. RNAcentral's name for it is "partial 16S ribosomal RNA". It matches the Rfam family "Bacterial small subunit ribosomal RNA", at positions 899 to 1397 of the family's 1533-position model. The record is from RNAcentral.